UCCGGUUUAUCACCGGCAGUCUCCCUAGAGUUCCCACCUUUACGUGCUGGCAACUAAGGAUAAGGGUUGCGCUCGUUGCGGGACUUAACCCAACAUUUCACAACACGAGCUGACGACAGCCAUGCAGCACCUGUCUUAGCGUUCCCGAAGGCACAGCCGUAUCUCUACAGCCUUCGCUAGAUGUCAAGAGUAGGUAAGGUUCUUCGCGUUGCGUCGAAUUAAACCACAUGCUCCACCGCUUGUGCGGGCCCCCGUCAAUUCAUUUGAGUUUUAAUCUUGCGACCGUACUCCCCAGGCGGUCUACUUAGUGCGUUAGCUGCGCUACUCACAGUACAAGACCACGAACAGCUAGUAGACAUCGUUUACGGCGUGGACUAC
Molecule: unclassified non-coding RNA, 378 nt
Filed under: uncultured Alteromonadaceae bacterium
Lineage: Bacteria; Pseudomonadati; Pseudomonadota; Gammaproteobacteria; Alteromonadales; Alteromonadaceae
Description: contains 16S-23S intergenic spacer region
Source: RNAcentral